GAUGAAGAACGUAGCGAAAUGCGAUAAGUAAUGUGAAUUGCAGAAUUCAGUGAAUCAUCGAAUCUUUGAACGCACAUUGCGCCCGCCAGUAUUCUGGCGGGCAUGCCUGUUCGAGCGUCAUUUCAACCAUCAAGCCCCCGGGCUUGUGUUGGGGACCUGCGGCUGCCGCAGGCCCUGAAAAGCAGUGGCGGGCUCGCUGUCACACCGAGCGUAGUAGAUUUUAUCUCGCUCAGGGCGUGCUGCGGGUUCCGGCCGUUAAACCACCUUCAUAACCCAAGGUUGACCUCGGAUCAGGUAGGAAGACCCGCUGAACUUAAGCAUAUCAAUAAGCAGGA
This 335-nucleotide unclassified non-coding RNA is filed under the name soil metagenome. Its description in RNAcentral is "partial contains 5.8S ribosomal RNA, internal transcribed spacer 2, and large subunit ribosomal RNA". The stretch from base 1 to 120 matches the Rfam family "5.8S ribosomal RNA", at positions 35 to 154 of the family's 154-position model. The record is from RNAcentral.